This 806-nucleotide ribosomal RNA is filed under the name uncultured bacterium. RNAcentral's name for it is "bacterial SSU rRNA". It matches the Rfam family "Bacterial small subunit ribosomal RNA", at positions 74 to 902 of the family's 1533-position model. The record is from RNAcentral.
ACGUAGCAAUACGUUAGCGGCGGACGGGUGAGUAACGCGUGGAUAACCUGCCUUGCACUGGGGGAUAACACUUAGAAAUAGGUGCUAAUACCGCAUAAGCGCACGGAGCCGCAUGGCUCAGUGUGAAAAACUCCGGUGGUGUAAGAUGGAUCCGCGUCUGAUUAGCUGGUUGGCGGGGUAGAAGCCCACCAAGGCGACGAUCAGUAGCCGGCCUGAGAGGGUGAACGGCCACAUUGGGACUGAGACACGGCCCAAACUCCUACGGGAGGCAGCAGUGGGGAAUAUUGCACAAUGGGGGAAACCCUGAUGCAGCAACGCCGCGUGAGUGAAGAAGUCAUUCGUGAUGUAAAGCUCUAUCAGCAGGGAAGAAAAUGACGGUACCUGAGUAAGAAGCCCCGGCUAACUACGUGCCAGCAGCCGCGGUAAUACGUAGGGGGCAAGCGUUAUCCGGAUUUACUGGGUGUAAAGGGAGCGUAGACGGCCAGACAAGUCUGAAGUGAAAAUCCAGCGCUUAACGUUGGAAGUGCUUUGGAAACUGCCGGGCUAGAGUGCAGGAGGGGCAGGCGGAAUUCCUAGUGUAGCGGUGAAAUGCGUAGAUAUUAGGAGGAACACCAGUGGCGAAGGCGGCCUGCUGGACUGCAACUGACGUUGAGGCUCGAAGGCGUGGGGAGCAAACAGGAUUAGAUACCCUGGUAGUCCACGCGGUAAACGAUGAUUACUAGGUGUCGGGGGGCUAGAGCCCUUCGGUGCCGUCGCAAACGCAAUAAGUAAUCCACCUGGGGAGUACGUUCGCAAGAAUGAAACUC